GCUCCCUUCAAUGAAUUAGUAAACUUGAAGCGGUCCCAUUCUAAGAUUUCAAGAGAGAGAGAGAGAAACUAUGAAGAGCAUCGCCUUACUCUUUGCGCUCACUUUGCUUCUGGCUUCCUCUACGGAGUUAGCACUUUCCACUCGGAUGCCUCUUCCAAGCUAUGAUCCCCAAGAGAAAUCUAAGCCUAUCCACGUGAAGUGCAAACCACCUCAAGAGUGCUGUGUUUAUGGGUCCUCCAUAACUGAUUGCCGUAUGUGCGCUGUUGUAUGUCCAUGAGAGAUUACUUAAGCAGCAGUAGCUAUAAGUAGUGUGUGAUCCCUUUUGGGCUUUGAAUAAUUAUGUGUUUGGUUGUGUUUGAUGGUAUUUUUAAUAUUGCUUGUACUAUGAAAGAAAAGGCUUUUGAUGUGAA
Molecule: long non-coding RNA, 410 nt
Organism: Asparagus officinalis (garden asparagus)
Lineage: Eukaryota; Viridiplantae; Streptophyta; Magnoliopsida; Asparagales; Asparagaceae
Exons: 2
Source: RefSeq, a predicted model, not a curated record